This 854-nucleotide ribosomal RNA is filed under the name uncultured Acidobacteriota bacterium. Its description in RNAcentral is "bacterial SSU rRNA". It matches the Rfam family "Bacterial small subunit ribosomal RNA", at positions 72 to 902 of the family's 1533-position model. Lineage: Bacteria; Pseudomonadati; Acidobacteriota. The record is from RNAcentral.
AAAGGGAGCAAUCCCCGGUAGCGUGGCAGACGGGUGAGUAACACGUGGGUAACCUACCCGGAGGUGGGGGAUAACCCUUCGAAAGGAGGGCUAAUACCGCAUGACAUCGCGAGGACCUCGGUCCUUACGAUCAAAGCUGGCCUCUGUUUACAAGCUAGCGCCACCGGAUGGGCCCGCGCCCCAUUAGCUAGUUGGUGAGGUAACGGCUCACCAAGGCGACGAUGGGUAGCCGGCCUGAGAGGGCGAUCGGCCACACUGGAACUGCGACACGGUCCAGACUCCUACGGGAGGCAGCAGUGAGGAAUAUUGCGCAAUGGGCGAAAGCCUGACGCAGCGACGCCGCGUGGAGGAUGAAGGUCUUCGGAUUGUAAACUCCUGUCGAGUGGGACGAAUGCCGUGAGGGUGAACAAUCCUCGCGGUUGACGGUACCGCUGGAGGAAGCCCCGGCUAACUCCGUGCCAGCAGCCGCGGUAAUACGGAGGGGGCUAGCGUUGUUCGGAAUCAUUGGGCGUAAAGGGCGCGUAGGCGGCCGAUCAAGUCGGAGGUGAAAUCCCUCGGCUCAACUGAGGAAUUGCCUUCGAUACUGUUCGGCUUGAGUCCUGGAGAGGGUAGCGGAAUUCCCGGUGUAGCGGUGAAAUGCGUAGAGACCGGGAAGAACACCAGUGGCGAAGGCGGCUACCUGGACAGGUACUGACGCUGAAGCGCGAAAGCUAGGGGAGCAAACAGGAUUAGAUACCCUGGUAGUCCUAGCUGUAAACGAUGGGCACUUGGUGUUGCGGGUAUCGACCCCUGCAGUGCCGAAGCUAACGCAUUAAGUGCCCCGCCUGGGGAGUACGGUCGCAAGGCUGAAACUC